UGGGGAAUAUUGGACAAUGGGCGAAAGCCUGAUCCAGCCAUGCCGCGUGUGUGAAGAAGGCCUUCGGAUUGUAAAGCACUUUAAGUUGGGAGGAACAACACUAAGAUAAUACCUUGCUGUUUUGACGUUACCGACACAAAAAGCACCGGCUAACUCUGUGC
RNAcentral lists this ribosomal RNA (161 nucleotides) under uncultured Pseudomonas sp. Its description in RNAcentral is "partial 16S ribosomal RNA". It matches the Rfam family "Bacterial small subunit ribosomal RNA", at positions 355 to 508 of the family's 1533-position model. Lineage: Bacteria; Pseudomonadati; Pseudomonadota; Gammaproteobacteria; Pseudomonadales; Pseudomonadaceae. The record is from RNAcentral.